AGACACAUGCUCGUUCAUUGACAUUCACUUCUUCAAGAGUAGUGAGUAUUGUCUGACACUUGAGUAAGUCUCCACAACAUGGAUUUUCUCUCUUAUGUCUUCAAAUCUCUGUAAAUUAAAAUGUAUUAGUUUUCAGGUUCAAUGUUAAAAAGUAUAAACAACUUGAGCUUGCCUAUGAAACAUCAUUUUUUCCAACACACCCACAUAUUAUGUACUAAUGCACCAUCAUAAAUAUAGAACUGUAAUUCUUGAGAAUUAAAUGUAUACUCUCAAGACCUUCAUCAUUAAAUAAGGAGUACGACAGUUGAUUCCUAUUAGGUUACUUGCUCAUAUGUUUUGUUUGGUUUUUUGACAUCUUAUGAUCUCCAUCAUUUUUUUACUUUCUAAUUUUGUGUUUUUUCUCCCCAGCGUGUUUCUACUCCAAGAAAGCUAUUCCGCCUCUCCAAAUUCAACUGUGCGCUUGGUUUUGUUCUAUUUUUUAUUUGUGUUAUGAUCUUUGUCUUCAUGUGUUUUGGCUCUUUCAUUGUAUUUAAAUGUCAUGUCGCACUGUUUCUUCGUUAUAGUUAUUGUUUUGAAGUUUAGAGAAUGAGGUUCAUUAUUCUAGGACUAGGAGCAAAUUGGGUUAUUGCCUUUAGCCUGUAGGUUUUUUAAGGAUUCGUUACUGUUUUAUACGGGAUUAUUAUUUUUGGUUUCUGGUUUUCAACGGGCGGCCUCAGCGUCCACUUGUCUUUGCUCCCAUCAAAUUUCUUUGCUGGAACACUUUCAUCCGUUUCUUGCAGCUUCGGUGAGUCGCUGCCCUACUUUGAUCUCAUAAUAGUAUUUUCGAGUUUCAUUUUCUUUUCAUAUUUUAUUAUAUCACCAGCUAAAUUACUUACUUCUCAUGUGUCAGGACUUUUACCGCAUUAUUCAUAUAUUUUAUUAUGGCAAAAAGAAGAUGUGUGCUUUCAACGGAAGGUUACGUACUGUUGAGCUUUCUGUGUUUUUAUUUUAUUUUAUAACUCAUUUGUAUCACUUGCACACUUACCUUUAUUUAUUUCGUGUUUUUAUUUUAAACUAUGGUGUAUGGGAAUUUUAAUUAUUGUAUAAGGCAUGUUGCUAGCUGUGUAGUCACACCUACUAUUUACUUUCCAAUUCUUUGUUGCUUUUAUGCAAAUUUAAUAUUAUUUUUGUGUUCAGAUGGCUCAGACGGCUCUGUGACAACUUCAAGACGUUUAUUGUUUAGUUUACCUACUCCAUCAGCAACUGAUAUGGCUACGCCAAUUAUCUUUGGCCCUGAGUGUUCACAUGCUCUAACUACUCAGUCGAGAAGUUUGCGAGGUGCAUAAUAUUUGAUGAAUUGUGUCUAGAUUUGCACAAUUAAAUUUAAUAUUAUAUGGGAUUGCUUAGCAAGUGAUGUUGCUAUUAUUAUUAUUUUUUUGUGACUAUGGUUUGUAAUUUUCAGAUAAGACUUCGAAAAAAAGAAAGAGGCGUGUUCUUAUUGUUGACACUGGUGGGAGUGUUCCAAUCUCACAAGUGACA
RNAcentral lists this long non-coding RNA (1518 nucleotides) under Salvia miltiorrhiza (redroot sage). RNAcentral's name for it is "long non-coding RNA (SMIL_LNC008277)". Lineage: Eukaryota; Viridiplantae; Streptophyta; Magnoliopsida; Lamiales; Lamiaceae. The record is from RNAcentral.